Molecule: non-coding RNA, 30 nt
Filed under: Homo sapiens (human)
Lineage: Eukaryota; Metazoa; Chordata; Mammalia; Primates; Hominidae
Source: RNAcentral
UGAAAACGUAAUGGAACACGGGGAGGUGUC